RNAcentral lists this small RNA (37 nucleotides) under Propionibacterium australiense. Its description in RNAcentral is "CRISPR_Spacer". Lineage: Bacteria; Bacillati; Actinomycetota; Actinomycetes; Propionibacteriales; Propionibacteriaceae. The record is from RNAcentral.
CAUGCAUCAUUUGCGUCCGGGGCAGUCACGUCACCGG